Molecule: ribosomal RNA, 484 nt
Filed under: uncultured bacterium
Lineage: Bacteria
Description: partial 16S ribosomal RNA
Rfam family: Bacterial small subunit ribosomal RNA
Source: RNAcentral
AGCGAACGCUGGCGGCGUGCUUAACACAUGCAAGUCGAACGAGAACGGAUUAUAGCUUGCUAUAAUUGUCAGCUAAGUGGCGCACGGGUGAGUAAUGUAUAGGUAAUAUGCCUCUUACUAAGGGAUAACAAAUGGAAACGUUUGCUAAUACCUUAUACUCCUUAUUAACAGAAGUUAAUAAGGGAAAGAUUUAUUGGUAAGAGAUUAGCCUGUAUUGUAUCAGUUAGUUGGUGGGGUAAUGGCUUACCAAGACUAUGACACGUAACUGGUUUGAGAGGAUGAUCAGUCACACUGGAACUGAGACACGGUCCAGACUCCUACGGGAGGCAGCAGUGGGGAAUAUCGCACAAUGGACGGAAGUCUGAUGCGGCAACGCCGCGUGGAGGAUGACACAUUUCGGUGCGUAAACUCCUUUUAUAUGAGAAGAUAAUGACGGUAUUAUAUGAAUAAGCACCGGCUAACUCCGCGCCAGCCGCCGCGGUAA